Dermacentor andersoni is the source of this 2777-nucleotide RNA transcript. It is a transcript of the gene named U3 small nucleolar RNA-associated protein 14 homolog A, with no coding region annotated. The record is from RefSeq and is a predicted model, not a curated record. Lineage: Eukaryota; Metazoa; Arthropoda; Arachnida; Ixodida; Ixodidae.
UGACUAACUGGCGAAGUUUGACGCCAGUCGAAACAUGGCGGCCUCCACAAAUUCCACGUUGUUGGACGAUCUAUGCAAGAAGCCUGAUGUGCUGCAAGAAGAGUUUGGCAGCGAUGGGGAACGCCGCCAGUUACGCCGCAAGGGUCACGUCGACUCAUUUCGUCACAAGAAGUUGCUGGAUGCCAUUGGUUCCUUGGGCGGCAAAAAAAAAGUGACACCACGAACUGAGCCAAGCUUGACAGUCUCUGAAUAUGACCUGUCAAAAGCUUCAGUGGAGAAGGUGGCGGUGCACCAGCUGCUCAUGGGCCUCAAGAAGACCGAUGCGCACCGGCAGAUCAAGAAGAAAGUGCGCUCCAUUGUGCGCAAUGCCAAGGUGCUGGCCGAACCCUUACCCCGACCUCAACUCCAGAGGGCACAGCGUCAGGUCGCAUAUGAAAAGGUUGGCGAGGAAGUCUCCGUGUGGGAGCCUGUGGUCAAACAGAACCGUGUGGCUGAGCAACUACGCUUUCCCCUCAAGCAACCAGACAUGAGGAUGGCGUCUGUUGGUAAAUUUGCUGAGCGCCUCAAGCCGAAGACGGAUCUUGAAAAAGAAAUAAACAAGAUCUUGAAGGUCAGCGAAAAUGUCACGCCACCAGGAGCUGAACUGACUCCAGCUGAAGAGAAAGCCCUGAAGGCCAUGAGCUUGGAAGAGGCCAAGGAAAGACUGGCUGAGCUGAAAAAGAUGAGGGCUCUGCUGUCCUAUCAGGAGAUGAAGGCUCGAAGGCAGGGCAAGAUCAAAAGCAAGAAAUAUCACCGUAUUCUGAAGAAGGAGCGCCUGAAAAAAGAAAUGAAAGAGUUCGAAGAACUCAAGGAGAAGGACCCUGAGCUUGCCAUUGAGAAGCUGCGAGAACUUGAAAAGCAGCGAGUCUUGGAAAGAGUGUCGUUAAGGCAUAAAGGCACAGGAAAAUGGGCCAAGCACCAAAUGCUGAGAACCAAGUACAACCAGGAGAGUCGAGAAGCACUGUUGAAGCAGCUGGAGCUAAGUCGGCAACUCACACAGAAGCCUCUCGUGGAAUCAUCUGAUGAUGAGGAUGCAAUGGACUCUGCUGCUGCUAAAGAAGUUGCAGCCGCGCAUACUGGAGAGCUAGAGGCAAGCUUCUUCAACUCUGCUAACCCAUGGCUCAAGAACCCAAGUGUAUCAUGGCCCAGCACAGGAGUAGAUAGCGUUGAUGAUGUCAAUGCUGAUGCCGCAUCUCCAGAAACACUUCCUGAAGAUGUUGGAAGGGGAAAGGAUGCUGAAGCUUUACCCAGUGAUGAUGGGGAGGAGGCUGGUAAUAAAAACUGUGAUAAGGGUGCUCUUGGAGCAGUGAACAGCAUGGAAAGUGAGCAGGAGUGCUUAACCAUUACGAAGGGUACUGAAGAGAAAACAGCAGUCGAGGCUGAAACAGAAAGCUGCAUGAUCGACAAUGAAAAAGAAAAGAAGGCAGCACUUUCAAAUCCGAAAUAUGGUGGUCAAGCAAAGUUUGGUUUGAUCAAGAAAGGUCCAAAAAGGAAACUCGCUUCAGUUACGAAGAAUGGAGGCAAGAUCAGUGCACAGGUCUCCAAGCCAGUGGAGCCGUCCUCGGAAGAAAGAGAAGACGCUAACAUCGACCAGAUGUUUGAUUCUCUGAAUGAACAUGCCAUGAAAAAGAGGAAAAAAAUGAAGCCGGGUCAGAAAAGGAGGAACCAGAAGAGCAAUAAGUCGGUGACUUUCAAGGAGAGAAAAGAGGUCAACGAAGAAGAGAAAAAUGACAACAACGCUGACAGCACAACAAUGGAAGGCCUUGAAAAUGCUGAAUGUGAGGCACAGCUGGAUGAGAUAUUGGAAAGGAAGCGGACUCUGAAAGACCUGGAAAGUUUCAGCAAAGAUAAAACACCAAAGGCAUCACAGAAGCGCUCCUUGGUCCCCCAGCCAACCCAGCCAGAAGCUAAGCCGGAUAAAGUAGAAGUUGACCCAACGAAGUUCCUUCAGGUGAAACAGCAAAUACUAAAGUCCAGGGCUCCAGACUUGGGUGGAACUGCUGAGGAUGCUUUGGAUGAUGAGGACAUUGAGAAUGAACAGGCCGUCACUAUUGCUGAAGCAUUUGCAGAUGACGAUGUCAUCAGUGCUUUCAGGGAAGAGAAGAAAGCGCAGGUGAAGCAGGAUACACCACAAGGUGUUGACCUUUUCUUGCCUGGAUGGGGAUCCUGGGGUGGCGGCGGCAUCAAGGUAGAUAAAAAAAAGAGACGCAAGUUCUUUGUGAAGCCUCCCCCAGCACCACCGAGGAAAGACCAAACACUUGGAAAUGUGAUCAUCAGCGAAGCCCAGGAUGAAAAACUUGAGGCACACCAGGUUGACGCGCUGCCAUUCCCGUUCAACAACGUUAGCCAGUUUGAGUCAGUCAUCAGCCACCCUGUGGGCAGCUUGUGGAACCCCGAGACAUCCUUCAGAGAACUGACUGCACCGAAGGUUGUUGCCAAGAUAGGGCAAGUCAUUGAACCCAUAGACACAGAUGCUCUGACCCUCAAGAAGAAGGAGAAUGUUGUCGAUAAGCUCUUGGAGCGACAGAAAGCUGCAGCAAAGCACAAGCAGCAGCCGCAGCGACGAAGGAAGAAAAAAUGAACAAUGGUACUGACAGUGUAUGUCCAGCGAAGCUGUUGCAAAACCACCACUACAACUGCUUAGGGGGGAAUGCAAGCAUGUUCAUGCCUCCAAGGAAUGAAGUGAACCUGUAUAAUAUGUACAUAUUGAAAUAAAUACACACUGCGGCAUGUACAAA